GAAUAUGCUAUUACUCCAGUACAUACAGAUAUAAAUGUGGGAGAAGGAUCAGUCGAAGAAGAUGCACAGGGUAUUGUUAAAAUUUUAUUAUUUGUAUUUAAAAUAACUUGUCAAAUUCAUUAUUAUAUAGUUUAAACAUAUUAAUUGAUAGUGGAUUGGGAAACAAGUUAUUCAACCUAUAUUAAUCUUUUUCCACUUUGCGGGUGCGAGUGCUGCCUUUUAGCGGCAUUAGCCUGCUCUUUUUUCGAAAUCUACUAGGGUGUAUUUCACGUACAAGAGAUAAUCUCUUAACACAGGUCAGCCAUUUUUCGUCCCUUUCAGACGGACUAUCAUCGUUUGCUUAAAACCACUUUCGCAACUGGUGUCAAGGGAGAGCCGGAAAUUCAGUUCCUGAAAUGUUCAUUCCGACCGGGAAUCGAACCAGGAACCUUUAUGAUAGUAGUCAUUAUUAUAUGGUAAGGUUUAAUGUAAAAUUUAUGGAUCUGGAUUGAUGAAUUCGAUUAAACGCAUCUAUCCCAUCGAACUUUCAAUACAAGAUUUAUCAGAUCAAUACUAAACGACUAAAACUAUUAUAUCAAAUUUCUCUAUAUUCACCUUCCGUGGCAAGGUAACACUACCACUAUUGAAGUUAUAUUUUUAUAUAGCAGAUGUGGUCGAGUGGUCUAGAGAGCUGGACAUGAGGCUAAGCGAUAGGUGCUUUAGUGUAUUAAAGGUGUGAGUUCGAAUCCCGCUGAUGGACGGACAAAAUAUUGUCAGUAGAAAAUCUAACUCUAACACUGUUAGGUGUAAUUUUCAGACUUACAUAAUUAUUUGUAUUAACUAUGUAUUUAUAUCACUCUGAGAUCCAGUGGACAUAUAUAUUGUAUGAUUUGUCACUUGUUUAGACUUGUUUGUAUUAUAUAAAAUUGAAAAUGCAAAUGGGAAAUGGGAAAUGUGUCAAAGAGACAACAACCCUUCCGUAGAACAGACAACAUCAGAAGGUCAACAAUAGGUCUUCAAUGCAUUCACGCACCAGUCCUUCAGCUGGCCCCUAAACAAAUAUAUAUACUAGUGAUAAUGAAUAUAAGAUAUAUAUAUAUAUAUAUAUAUAUAUAUAUAUAUAUGCAAUUCGUCUAAACAUCAACCCAACAAUGUUAGAUCUGUAAAUUUGCUUUCGCAAAUUUUUGGUUCUUACCUCGCCGGGAUUCGAACCCAUGCUACUGUGAUAUCGUGACACCAAAUCGCCUGCACCCGUCCCGCUAGACCACACGACCACCUGGGCUCUACUUUCAAAAUGCUCUUAAAGUCCUUAUUCUGUUUCUACUAGUGUGGACACAGAAUUCAAUUUUUAGAAUAUAAAAUGAAUAAAUAAAUAGUCAACGAUUAAUCUUAUAGGGCGAUGUAUCAUGUAAUAUGACUGUACACUAAAAUAUAAUUUAUAACAAGUCAAAAGGGUACAACAUCACCAUUAAAUAACUAUAAAAGGAAAAAUUUAGAUUUUCGGAUAACAGAUAUCCUUCUUCGGUAAUAGCACAAUGUCAAAUGAAUCAUGUCAAGAUAUUCAAAUUGAGACUCUAUCAAAAUCUUGAAAGUUUAUACAAUUUAAGCGGACAUCACAGACGCUAUUACAAUUUUAAAAUUUCCAAACACGGCGCAAAGAUUACAAAGAUUCUUUAAUUUUACUUUCCGAUAUAUUGAUGAUGUUCUAUCAUUGAAUAACCCAUAUUUCAGCCAAUACUUACAUCUCAUAUAUCCCAGUGAACUUGAAAUUAAGGAUACUUCUGAUACUAGAAGGACUGCUUCAUACUGAUAUUUUCCUCUAUAUGACGAAGAUGGACGACUUCACACAAAAUCUAUGAUAAACGGGACGAUUUCAACUUCCCAAUUAUCAAUUUCCAUUUCUCAGCAGUAACAUACCCCCUGCCCCUUCGUAUGGUGUUUACAUAUCACAAUUGAUACGUUAGUCUCGUUCUUGUUAACACAAUAACAAGACUUCAUAUACAGGAGUGUGCUCCUUACGCAGAAACUGCUCCAACAAAGUUAUGAGGAGGACAGAUUAAUGACACUCCGUAAAUUUUUAGGACACCAUCACCAAUUGUGGAUCCAUAUGAUGUCUUUUGACCAAACUAGCUAAGGACUUUUACUACAUGGUAGAUUGUGGUCUUGUCAUUACGUCGCUAUCUUUAAUUACCAACGUGACUAUUCCCGUUGUGACUGUUUUUUGUGGUUGCUGAGUGUGAAUUCGCAUUUACAAGACGUGUUACGGUACUUAUCUAUCCCCAAAUUCAUGUAAAAUAUUUUAAUGUUAUAUAUUGUAAUUCUCAUCGGAUUUGUCGAAUGUGUUGACGUCUUUUCUAUUAUAUUCAUGUUUAUGGUAAGAAAAUUAAUCACACUUCAUUUUAGAUUUGAUUUUUCAACGUAUUCUUACGUUUUUUAGUUUGAAGUUUGAUCAAAACAAUCGAUAAUAUAGUUAAUUGUUACCUUAGUUUGCUAUUAAUCAGUUUUGAAAUGUGCAUUGUUUUUAAAUGUAAUAUCAGUAUUUAGUUCAAAUAUAAUCUUAAACCAAUCUUAAUUCUAUCUUAUUCAUUCAAGUUGACGUCAUUUUUCAUUUUUUUGAUGAUCUCUUUUUACAAAUUCAAAUGUGACGUCAUUUUUUGUUUUUUACAAUUCUAAUAUGACGUCACUUGGCGUUAGUUUAACACUUAUUGGAUGUGUUGCUUUUGUCGGGUUAUACAAUGUAUUUCGGUGUUUCCUGUAAUUAGCUAAUACCAGUAUUCAUGUACAUCUUUUGUAUAGUCAUUAUAUAAAAUUUACUGUUUGCAAUUAAGUAUAAAUUAUUCUAAAUAAUAGGGAUGUUCUGGUACCUAACAGAAAAACCCUGGCUUUUUGGACAACUUUUUUGAAUUGGUCCUCGAUGCUUUUCAACUUUGUACUUGUUUCGCUUCAAACUUUUUAUCUUGCGUCACUAGUAAGUCUUGUGUGGACAAAAUGCACUUCUGGCGUAUUAAAUUUUUUAAACUUGUUGCCUUUUGUUAGCUAUUAUUUGUGUGUUUAUUUGUCAAUUGUGUUCUUUUAUUUAUUUAUAUUGUAGUCCUGUAAUGUUGUGUUGUCAUUUUAAUGUUAUAUUUCACAUGGCCGUAAAAGAGGGAGGUUUGGCAUGCCACAAAACCAGAUUCAACCCACCAUUUUUUCCUUUAAAAAUGUCCUGUACCAAGUCAGGACUAUGGCCAUUGUUAUAUUUUAGUACGUUUAUGUAUGUGUUACAUUUUAAUGUUGUGUUUCCGUUGUGUCGUUUGUUUACUAUAAGACGUGUCACGGUACUUAUCUAUCCCAAAUUCAUGUAAUUGGUUUUGAUGUUAUAUUUGUUAUUCUCAUAGGAUUUUGUCUAAUGCUUAGUCCGUUUCUGGGUGUGUGUUACAUUUUAAUGUUGUGUCGUUGUUCUCCUCUUAUAUUUAAUGCGUUUCCCUCAGUUUUAGUUUGUUACCCCGAUUUUGUUUUUUUGUUUAUGGAUUUAUGAGUUUUGAACAGCGGUAUACUACUGUUGCCUUUAUUUACAAAGAUAUUCCAAAUAAAUAUAGUUAUUUGCGAUGUGAACUGGCACAACUCUAAAUUUCCAAAGGUUUUGACAGUUGAGAUGUUAUAACUGCAUGGAGAGCAGUUCCCAAAUAAAAAAAAUGCCCUUAACGGAUCGAAGUUGGUAUAAUAUUUCAAAUUUGACAACGGUAGGGCAAUUGCAACAGAAACUACAUAUUUAAGCCUCCCAAACGAAUAGCAGUUUAAUAAUGAUUAGAAGUGAUUAUAAGUUUUAUUUAAUAAGGUAGAAUAAUUGAACGUGGCUACGUACUUGUACAUCUAUCCCAAAUGAAUGGAGCCCUGUAAUUUAAACUGGUAUUUAAAAAAAUAAAAACUGUCGAGCCAGUACGAAAGCCGGAGUUACUGGAAACAAGUGAUGACAGGAAUAUGAGUGACUCAUUCUAUGUUUUUUUCCGUUGAUGCCCUCUGUGGAAACUGUCCUUAACUUUCUUAUCCAAAAUCUUUCCCGAGCGACUCUGUCGACCUUCGACCAACCCUCGUUGUACCAACCCUCGUUAUAUAUAAAUACAACUCGUCUAAACAUCAACCCAACAAUGUUAGAUCUGUAAAUUAGCUGCUUUCGCAAAUUUUUUGUUCUAUAUAUAACGAAAUACCUAAAAGGGUUUGAACAUAUGUAUUCGCAUUCUGACUUUUUGAAUGGCCAUUUAAUUAGGUGUGAUAAUAUGAGGCAAAGUGGUAUAGGGUAGAAAAAAUCAAAACUUUGAACAGAUUCAAAAUCACCAAUAAAAAUAAUGGAAUUUAUCAAGUACUUCCAACUAGUUUUUAAUACUUCAAAAGUAAUUUUUUCCUCUAUUUUCUUACUUGACCAAUUUAAUAUCAGGUUUUUGAUUGUACCAAGUGUACUGGUAAGAAGAUGAGACAAUUUAGAAGUGGAAAAAUGGCUUGAAGAUGAAAUAAAUCUAUAGUUGUAAGGUGUUUUGUGUAAUUUCGGAAGCCAGUACAUAGUUGGGACUUUCAUUGUAUUUGGUUAUGUUUGUAAUGAGGUAGCUAAAAGUUUAUGUUUGUUAAAGAUGUCGUUUUCUGAAAAUGGAAUCAGUUGGAAUGUUGGUGAAUUGGUGAUUUCUAUUUUCGGAACCUCAAUUUAAAAUUUACGUCAAACAAUAAUGAUGUUAUAAGCAGCUUUAUCGGCCGAGACAAAAGCAAAUUCCUUGGCUAGUUCUUUUAGUUGAUGUUUGAUACGAGCAAUAAGGGUUUUAUGGUUGUAUUUUUAAAGUACCGGUCUUUGUAAAAAUCAUGCGAAGGUGAUUCAUGACAUGUCACAGAGUAAUUUUUUUGCCCUAUAAUAAAACUUUGGUAGAUGAGUAAAAUUCUGUCUUUAUUUUCCCUAAUUAUGCCCGUUGCCAUGGAAACCAUCAAAUAACAUUUUGCCUGAAUAUGUAAAAAAACCCUUUUUGAAAAAUAUAAUAAGGGAAUUUCAGUCCGAUAGAAAUAAGUUAAUCAAUUCAAAAAUAUGAAUAUUACAGUUUUGACAAAAAAACCCAAACUAUACAAAAACGUAAAAUUUUGAAUUUACUAAAUAGUUUGUUCCAUAGCAAAUUAAAAUGUGUUAAAAUUCCGAAAAUGAAAAAUUUCAAAAAACCAAUUUUAAAUCUGUUUAUCUUCCAAGACCAACAAUAUUAUGACAUGUCAUUGACAAUUGAAGACCACAUUCUAAUAUAUUAAUAAAAAAAGAAAGUCGUGUGUUUUUUUUCUUUAAAAAAAUAAUUUUUGUCAAAAAUUGUCAAUUUACCAAAAUUUAGAUUCCAAACAGAUGAAUACUGAAACAUUUGAACUAAAAAAGCUAAAACUUUCCAUUAUACGUUCAAUUCUGCCACAAAUAGUAAUUUUAAACGAAAAUAUAUGAUAAAUGAAGAUAUACUUGUACAAAAUGAAAAAUCAUUACUCUGGGUAUUGCACCCACUUUUUCGAUUUUUUUUUUUUUUUUUCAAAAUUAUAAAAUUUGUUGUGAAGGAAUUGUGGUAUCAUCAUAGUGUUUAUUGUGCACUAAGUAUUUUAAGAAUUAAGCAUAACACAACCUCUUAACUGAGGGAGCAUAUGUCCCCCCUUCAUCUUAUAGUAAGAGUUGUCAUAAGUUUUUUAAAAAAUGGUAAUACGCAAAACCCGUUAUCUUGCCUUAGACUGAUGCUGUCAGUGAAAAAAAAUAAUGUGAAUCCAAAACUUAAUUACUGUAAGUUAUGUAUAAAAUAAGAGGAUGUUUUAUUGUCAAUGAAACAAUUAACUCUCACCAGAGAGCAAAGACAUAGAAAUAAGCAACCACAGGUCACCGUAUAGCCUUCAACAAUGAGCAUAGCAUGAUAUCUAUAAAAAAUAUUAAUGAACAUUUAAAAAAAAUAGCUCACAGAAACUCUUUCAAAAUGGUUAAAGAAGUUACAGAACAUUUAAUGCAACUCAUUGUUGGUUUUUGAAACAGAUUGAUUCUUUAAAAAACUUUAACCAACUAACAAGAAGGCUCACCUGAAAUGUCUGUUGGUUAUUAUCAUUGAAUUACUUUUACACUCUGUAAGUGUUAUGUAAAAGAUUAUAACACAUUAUCAUCAUAACUUAACAUUAUCAAUGUUCUAAGAAAAUGAGGUCAGGGUAAGAUUGACAGAUGAAAAAAAAGAACGGAAACGGAAAAUUCAGCCCCUUCCAUUUUUAAAAGGGGCAUAACUUAUUGACAGUACAAAUAACACCAAAACAUUCUUACUCUUUUGCAUUUUAUGGAAAUAAGCAUUGUGUAAAAGUUUUGAAACAUUUGGUUGUGGCAAAACUUAGUUAGAGAACGGAAACAAAAAAACUCAGGAUUUUUUUCAUUUGUAUACAGGGUAAACUCUGGAACGGACGUACUUAUGGACAAAGGUAAAACGUAAUGGACCCCUUUGCACGGUGGAGGCAUACACAUGUCUAUAUGUUCUAUAUCUGAGGAAAUAUACACCAACGAUUUUACAUUAAUUGUGCAAGAAAAAAUGUCAAUGUUCUAUUGUCAUGGUGGAAAGGGACAGCUUGUCUAUUAUUUUUUAAUAACCAACUGAAUAUUAUUGGUAUAUACGGCAGAAAUCGCAUCUUUUAUGGUACUAUUAUAAACUGUUUUAAUUCUAAACCUCAUGACAACCAUGUGCAAAGACCAUUCAUUGAUUUUGCUAAUUUAAUCAAUUGUUAUAUUUACACAUUUUUAUGCCCCGUUGUGGGCCGGCGGAGGGGUAUUAAGGUUUAUCCUUGUCAGUAUGUCCCAAAGUUGGUUUCUGUUCUCUAUCUUUAUAAAAAAGAAGAUGUGGUAUGAUUGCAAAUGAGACAACUGUCCACAAGAGACCACAAUUACACAGACAUUAACAACUAUAGGUCACCGUGCCUCAACCAAAUGUUAUGAAACUUGAUCACAUUGCUUAUUACCAUAAAACACAGACUAAGGUUGAAUUUUGGUGGUGUCACUUAAACCGUCGAAGAGUUAUGCCUCUUACAAAUAGAAAUAUUACUGAAUUUCCCGUUUCUCUUCUCUAAAUUUAGUUUGUCUUUACCAAAUGCUAUUAAAAUUAUACACAAUGCUUAAAACCACCAAAUACAGAUCAAGUUUGAAUUUUGGUGGUGUCACUUUUACUGUUCUAUGCCAUGCCUCUUUAUAGAGGGAAAAGUUGCUGAAUUUCUUGUUUUGUAUUUAUUUCUUUAGUUUGCCUCAACCAAAUGUUAUGAAACUUUUAUACAAUACUCAUCACCAUAAACGUUAGUACACAAUUGGUGAGUGUCACUUUUACCGUACUUCAGUUAUGUUCGUUUAUAACUUUUAUGAUAUGCAAGCGGGAGCAUCAUCUGUGUCCAAUGGAAACAUUCCGCAUUUAUUUUAAAUCUUUUGCAUAAGUUAAGAUUAUUAUAUAUUAUAAUAGAAAGAAAGGGUUUGUAGUUCUGUCAGAUUUACGAAACUAAUACUUUUGGUAUAAGCAUAUCCAAACAAGUUAUACAUUGGGUGCCAAUCGACUUUUAUAAAAGCAGUUAAACCUUGAAAAUAAUAAAUUUAUGGAAAAUAGCCCCUAGCCUCCCACAGGUACAAUUCUUGCUAGAUUUUUAAUAAAACUUAUAAACUAGUUUAACAUCAACAAUAUCGCGGAUAAGUUUUAUAAUGAUGGAUCAAUAGACUUUUUAGAAAGAGUUAUGAUCCUUAAACAUUUAAAUUUAUGGAAGUGGCCUCUUAGCGCUCUCAAUGUACAAGUUUUUAUUUUUUAUUUUCGUUUAAUUUCUGAUAGAACGGACAUAUUUUUGUUUAGAUCACCGUUUCAAAGAACGUGAAUUUGCAUCCUAUGCGUCCGUCGUCUGUACGGUGUAAAUAUUUGAAACAUUUCCUCUGAAACUACUUAACCAUUCCAUGAAACUUAAACUGAAUGAUUCCUAGAAUCUAUAAAAGGUGGUGUUUUAUUUUCUAUUGUUGUACAAAAAGCAAGUGUGUGGCGAUAUCUAAAAUAAAGGAACAGCAAAUUUUCAGAUGAAAACAAUUGUUGGGAUCUGUCACUAAAAGUUGUUAAGUGUACAGAAAUUUAGCAGUUUUUGGUUAUUAUCUUGAAUAUUAAUUAAUCGACAAAGAUAAACUGUAAACAGCAAACAAUCAUCCUCUGCCAUUAAAGCGGGAGGUUUGCAUGCACAAAACCAGGUUCAAACCCAUUUUCAAAAAAUGCCCUGUACCAAGCAGAUAAUGGCAUUGUUACAUUAUAUUGUUUCUGUGUGUGUACAUUUGGUAUUGUGUCUCUGUAUAAUUCGUAGUUCUCUUAUAAUUUGAUAAUUUCCCUCAGUUUUAAGUUUGUAACCCGAUUUGUUUUUUCUCUAUAAUUUGAAUUUGAACAGCGGGUAUACUACUUUGCCUUAUAUUCAGUCAAAGUAAAUAUUUACAAAGGUACCAGGAUGAUAAUUUAGUACGGCAGACGCGCGUUCGUCUACAUAACGACUCAUCAGUGACCUCAAUAUCAAAAUAUUUAUAAAGCAAACAAGUACAAAAGUUGAAGAGCAUUGAGGAUCCAAAAUCCAAAAAGUUUGCCAAAUAUGUGCCAAAGUAAAUAUCUACAAAUAAGUUUAUAUGACCAAAAUUGUCAAUUGAAUCCAUAUGGAGUUAUUGCCCUCUAAAGAAAUUUUUCACAAUUUGUUCUAGUUUGCUUACUGUGAAAAAAAAUCUUCUUAAUCUGAAUAUGAUAAAAUCAAUGUCAGCCAACUUGGGAGUAUCUUGUAUAAUUUUGUAUUUAUUUCCUGUACUUCAAGAAACUUAGCCACUAUGGCUAAAAUGGAACAUCGGGGUAAAAUGCAUUUUUUGCUUUGAAGAAAAAGACAGAUACAAAGAACAUUUAAAUUGAAUUUUUAAAGCCACUCAUUGAUAUAUAUUGAAAACACAGAUAUCAUUGAUACAAGAUUUAACCAAAAAAUUACAGGAGAUCGAUUCAGGCUCUUUAAAGCCUGUUGUUUAGAAUAAAAAUUUAAAGACAGUCUGAGACUAAGUUUUUUUUACAUAAAUUGAAAUGUAACUUGGACAGAGUCUAAUUUAAAAAACCAUGAAAUAGCAUAUAAAAGUUUUUAAUUUCAAUUUGCACAAAACAAGUGUAUUUAGGGACGCAGCUUCCUUCAUUCAGUCAUCAGCUUUUCAUUUUUUUUCUGUUGUUUUUUUGGGUUGUUGUCUCUUUGACACAUUCCCAAUUUCUAAAAAAAAUCUUAAUAUAUAAAAAUUGUGUGGGGGUUCUAUUGUUGCCCUCACCCUUUGAAGAAAUUUCAUGUUUUAAAUUUUAAUAUUUUUUUUUUUAUAUUUUUUUUCAAAAAAAAGGGGCCCAUGCCCAGAGAGAAACAUUUUCUUCCUCCACGACAAAUUCUCUAUCAAUCAUAUAUUUUCAUUUAUUAUUACCCAAAUUGUGUCAGAAAUGCACGUAUAAAUGGAAUGAUUUAGCUUUUUAAGUUCAGAAUGUUUCAGUAUUCAUCUGUUUGGUAAUCUGAAUUUUGGUGAAAAUUGACAAUUUUUUGACUAAAAUUAUUUUUUAAAGAAAAUAAAACACACGACUUUCUUUUUUUUUAUCAAUAUAUAGAAUGUGGUCUUUCAAAAUUUGUGAAUGACAUGUCAUAGUAUUGUUGGUCUUGGGAGAUAAACAGAUUUAAAUUUAGGUUUUUUUGAAAUUUUUCAUUUUCGAAUUUUUACACAUUUUCAAAUGGUUGCUAUGGAAACAAACUAUUUAGUAAAUUAAAAAUUUUAACGUUUUUGUAUAGUUUGGUGUUUAGUUUGUCAAUACUGUAAAUAUUCAUAUUGUUUGUAUUGAUUAACUUUAUUUCUAUGGUUCUUUAAAAUCCCUUAUAUAUCAUUUUUUAAAGGCCACUUAUUUACAUAUUUAGGCAAAAUUUUGUAAGGAUGGUUUCCAUGCAACCAAGGUUCAAAGGAAAAAAAAUAAUACAUAAAACUAAUUUGCAUACCUUACCUUCUUCAUAAACAAGAUAUAAAGACAUUUCAAGAGGGGUCAUGAAUCGCCUAUCAACAAGAACAUGCAUCAUUCUUACAAAAGACCGGUACUUUAAAAGAGUAAAAUGUUCCUUCAUAUGUUGAACACGUAUAUCAACUAUGUUUAUUACUGAAUUAAAAAAAGAGUCCAAAGAUUUUUUGUCAGCUUUACCCGUUUUAUCCAUUUCAGACAGUAAGUACGGAGUAAGUCGUGGAUGAUAAUACGACACUCAUUCCAAUUAAUAAUUGACGGGGAACGAUAUUUAGGUCCUUUACAGAGGAAUACUUUUAAUGGGUCCAUAAAUGUAUUCGGAAUUACUACAAUAACAUGAAGUAGGCGUAUUUUCAUUGAUAAUAAUAUCUUUACACAAUAGGCUAUCAUUAAACACAUAUUUCCUGGUAGAUAUCUUGUAGAUAUAACAAAUAAGAGGGAGCUCAGUAUUAUCAAACUAUCUUUUAACAGAAUGGUCGUUAAAAAUACCGGCAAUAUUUACAAAAUCAAAGCCUUUAUUAGGAUUGCAAUAUGCAAUUUUAUUUAAUUUAUUAACCGGCAAAGAACAGACCUUUGUUAACAGAUAAUGUCUGCCGUUGCUUUUUAAAAUAGAAAUUAGGUGCGAAAUAUUUGUAUGAUUGGUUCGAAAUUUUCUUUGAUUGCGAUUUAUUCUACGAACAUGAGGAACUACUUAGCCAAUUCAAACCAAACUUAAAUAUUCAUUAGGUAGAGUUCUAGCAGCCCCGACAUUUUGAGAUGAAUCUAACAACCAAAUUCAGUUGUUUCCACUUAUAUAUCAUUUUAUUUUUGUAUCACCUUUGUUGAAAAAGGUAUACAGAAAAUCAUAACACUUUACAUAACAUUGCGUUGUUCAUUUGUUGAGGAAGCAUUAAAUGUUAUAUUACAACGGUAUGAUCAAUAUAACCCACAGCUUAACAGAUUAUCAUUUAUAAUUUCUAAUACAUUGGCACAAUUUUUGAAGUUUAGAUUUCUGUUUUUGGUUCAUAAUUUUGAUACCUUACAGUUCUAUAGGUAUUUCUUGUCAAUAAGAAGUGCUCUAUCUGCAUGCCAGUAGGCUGUCGCAUUCCAUUAAAUAGUGGUAUUCGUCAACGAUAGCAACUCUGCACAAAGGACACUUUUUCUGUUCUAGUGGAAUGUUUUACCAUCUACCGUUUUUAAUCGCUAGCUCAUGAUUCAUUGUUCUUAACCGCGACAUUAUUAUUUCGUCUUUAUCAUCGAGUAUGUUAGAGCAGUUUUCAAAAUUGUGUGAUGUCUUGUAUAGGCGAUAAUUCAGAGUUUUAGGUGAAUAAUUUACCUUUCUGACCAUGACUUGUAAACUGAUCUUCUAGUCUUUGUUUAAUUACUGAUUUAAUGUUAGGUGUUGUCUUUUGACAUGAACAUAGGUAACAGAACCCCCAAUUAUCUAGAAUACGUUUCAUCUUGUCUAAUGUUGUUUCUUGUGCCAACUUGAAAAGGUAUCUAAACAUUACAGCAGCGAGCUUCCUUUUUCGUUUCGAGUAUAUGGUUUAAGAUGUAAAAAAAGACUUAUAAAUUUGAUUUGAACUUUUUCUAGUAUGUCAAUGUUUUCGUAACCCAAUAUUUCGCAUCCAUAAAGCAGGAUAGAUUUUACCAGUAAGUCAAAUAACUCUACGUGGCAUUUUAUUGAUAAAUUGUGAAUUAUUCCCUUCCUUAAAACUUCGUACAAUGCACUUAUUACUUUGUCCUUUACAUAUUAUUGUUUGCAUUGUUUACAGGUUCCUGUAUUGCUUAAAAUAAUUCCUAAGUAGUUACAGUCAUUUAAAGUUUCAAUAUGAAGAUUGUUGUAUCGGAAGUUUGUCGUUCUUCCUUUUGAAAAAGUAAAAUCUUUGUUUUAGUGGCAUUUACUCGCAUCUUCCAGGUUUUGCAAUAUUGUAAUAAAUCUUAUUACAUUUUCCGAGAUGAGUUAGUCCUCUAUUUAAAAUCUCAUGUUUACGCCAGACGCGCGUUUCGUCUACACAAGACUCGAAUAGAAAAAUGUUUGAAUGGCCAAAUAAAGUAAGAAGUUGAAGAGCAUUUAGGACCAAAAAUUCCUAAAAGUUUUGCCAACUACAGCUAAGUCAUUCAACUGUAAUGAAAAAUAAAAAAAUGGCGACAGAUUUUUUUCUUGCCUGACACCGAUUUCACAAGCUGAUGGUUCACAUAUUUGUCCAUUUUAGCUCAAGCUGGAUUUUAUAUUCUGGUACAUACUCAGAAUAGUAUGAAAAAUUUUCCCCUUUAUACUGUUGUUCAGCAUUUUAAACUACAAGAAAUUACGAUUUUAAAACCGUAUCGAAGGCUUUUUUUAAAGUCUACAAAUGCGCAAAACAGUGUCUUUUUCAGUGUUGUAGAAUUUUAAUUCGAGAGUUCAGGAGGAAUAUGCUAUCAAUUGUUGAGUAUUUUUCUCGGAAACCAUUUUGAUUUUCGUAUAGAAUAUUCGUUUGUUCUACCACUAGACUGGUACAUUUUAAGGAGAUUUUGCAGGUGUUUUUUUUUCUUAUAUCAUCUUGAAUAUUAUUAUUGAUAAAGAUAACAAUAAGCAGCAAAAUGUUCGGCAAAGAAUGAUCAUCAAAUAAUUUAUAUUAUGAAAAUUGUUAAUUGACCCCUUAAGGAGUUAUUGCCCUUUACAGACAAAUUUUCACCUGGUAUCUUUGAUAACUAUCUACACCACUGGGUCGAUGCCACUGCUGGUGGACGUUUUGUCUCCGAGGCUUAGCCGCUAUCACAAACCCAGUAGUCAGCACUGUGGUGUUGACAUACAUAACAUUUAUAUGGUCAUUUUAAUAAAUUUUCCUGUUACAAAACUUUAAAAACCUGUAUAGCUUUACAACUAUUUUGAUCUGAGCGUCACGGAUGAGUCUUGUGUAGACAAAACCUGAUACCUUUGAUAACUACUGUAACAAUUUGUUCAUCUAGUUUGCUUAUUUAAAAAAAAAUCUUCUCCUUUGAAACUGCUAAAUGAAUUUAAGCCAAACUUGGGCUGAAUGAGUUUCAGAGUACCUAAUAUAUAUUUUGUAUUUUACGUCAAGAAACAUAGCCAGUUUGACUAAAACAGAACAUAAGGGUCAAAGGCAUAUUUUGCUUUUAAGGAAAAUAUGACAGAUACAAAGAACAUUUAAAUCGAAUUUUUAAGUUACCCAUUAAUUUAUAUUUAAAAGCAAAAGUAUUCAGUUAGGAAAGUUUUAGGCAAAAAUUUACAAGUGAGCGAUUCAGGCUCUUGAAAGCCUCUUGCUUUUGUAAACUGUUAAUAUUUGUGUAAGUUUUUCAUGAUCAUGUAUAUGUUUCUUUUGAUAACUCAUAAAACAUUAUUUCUUCUACUGCUAUUACAGUACAACAACUCAUAGCAAAUGUUGUGCUGGAUAUUCGGACUAUACAAGUGACUGCAGAUAUCGUAAGUGUCCUUUUACAUUUAAGUUUUACUACAUUUAACCAUAUAUCAUUGUUUGCUGAUAACUUAUGUACACGAGACACGUCUGUUUUGUUAUGCCGUUUACCUUUUCAAUGAUAGCGGAUAUGAGUUAGAAAAAGUGUGACAUAUGCAUUUCAUACUAAACUAUUUUCAUAAAUUCUAAAUGUACCAAAUACGAACCUAGGUUUAAUCUUUCUCUUAUUUUCGGUAUUAUAUCCUUGAUUGUAUAUUUCUACGUACAAUGUACAAUGACUUUCCUAAUUGAGAGGUCACAUUAGCUUUAAUCAUAAACUAACGAAUAAUGAUUAUCUGAUAUCAUGUUUUGGAAAUGAUUUACACCACUGGGUCGAUGCCACUGCUGGUGGACGUUUCCUCCCCGAGGGUAUCACCAGCCCAGUAGUCAACACUUCGGUGUUGACAUGAAUAUCUAUAAUGUGGUCAUUGUAAUAAAUUUCCUGUUACAAAACUUUAAAUUUUACGAAAAAUUAAGGAUUUUCUUAUCCCAGGCAUAGAUUACCUUAGCCGUAUUUGGCACAACUUCUUGGAAUUUUGGAUCCUCAAUGCUCUUCAACUUUGUACUUGUGUGGCUUUAUAAAUAUUUUGAUAUGACCGUCACUGAUGAGUCUUAUGUAGACGAGACGCGCGUCUGGCGUACUAAAUUAUAAUCCUGGUACCUUUGAUAACUAUUGACAUUAAAGUAUGUGUCUCCAAAAUAUAGAGCGCGGGUUUUACCAAAUGUUUCCUCCUUUAUGAUUAUGUGAGCUUCUUUUACAUUUCCCUUUGUUCAAUGAAUAAUUUAAGUUAACUUACCACAUUUUGCCAUACAAAUAUAUAAUUCGGACAAAAUUAAAUUUCAACACAAAUUGUGGACCUCUAAAGAGGAAUUUUGGAAAAUGAUUUCAGCUGUUAUUCUUCCUCAGUCAUAAUAAUCUUCCAUCAUUACCGGACUGAACAAAGAAAUAACACGAUGGGUGCUGUAUACGGUGAGGAAAUGCUUACUCUUCCGGAGCACAUGAUUUUACUAAAGGUUUUUAGUGGAGUUCGUGUUGUUUCUUAUUUAUUAUUUGUAACUGUUGAUGUAAAUGUCUUUUGGUUUUGUGAGUCUUUCCUUGGUUUUGAUUGUUAAAUCGAUAGAAAAAAAACAAAUCCGGGUUACAAACUAAAACUGAGAGAAAUGCAUCAAAUAUAAGAGGUGUACAACGACACAACAGAAACACAACAUUAAAAUGUAACACACACAGAAACAAACUAAGCAUUAGACAAAAUCCGACGAGAAUAACAAAUAAAACAUCAAAACUAAGUACAUGAAUUUAGGAUAGAAAAUAACCGUGAAAGGUCUUUUACAAUAUAUUUUUUUUCUACUCAAGCUCUUUGUAAUGGAAAACCUACUCCGCUUGGAGGAUGUUCUGAGGUUAACCCUACAGAUACAAUAAAAUAUAGAGGAGGCGGAAGUAGAAAUCAAGGAGAAGGAACGUGUGUAUCACCUGGUCUAUGUGCAAACUGUAAAGACGGAUUUUACGCAGAUUUUGCACUAUGUACAAGUAAGAUCACAUAAACCAUAUGGAUACUAACAUUGAACCGGG
RNAcentral lists this long non-coding RNA (14999 nucleotides) under Mytilus galloprovincialis (Mediterranean mussel). The record is from RNAcentral. Lineage: Eukaryota; Metazoa; Mollusca; Bivalvia; Mytilida; Mytilidae.